RNAcentral lists this ribosomal RNA (358 nucleotides) under Peripatidae sp. UFMT 160. Its description in RNAcentral is "partial 16S ribosomal RNA". Lineage: Eukaryota; Metazoa; Onychophora; Udeonychophora; Euonychophora; Peripatidae. RNAcentral also lists the same sequence under 1 other name. The record is from RNAcentral.
UUUUAUAAAUUAAGACUGGAAUGAAUGGGUUAAUGGGGCAUUUCUUUCUUAAUCUAAAUAUUAAAAAUAAUUUUUUUGGUGAGGAGACCAAAAUGAAUAUGAAAGACGAGAAGACCCUAUUAAGCUUAGAUAAAAUUAUUUUGUUGGGGAAACAAAAGAAGAAAUUUUCUUUAAAAUAUUUUUUUGAUAAAAAAUGAUUUUUUAUUAAAGGAAAUAGAGUAAGUUACUAUAGGGAUAACAGCAUAAUUUUUUUUAAAAGUUCUUAUUGACGAAAAAGGUUAUGACCUCGAUGUUGGAUUAAAAUUAUUAUAUAGUGAAGUUAUUAUAUAAAUUAGUCUGUUCGACUAUUAAAGUUUUA